This 1085-nucleotide long non-coding RNA is filed under the name Junco hyemalis (dark-eyed junco). RNAcentral's name for it is "lncRNA (ENSJHYG00000010323.1)". Lineage: Eukaryota; Metazoa; Chordata; Aves; Passeriformes; Passerellidae. The record is from RNAcentral.
GUAGUCAGAUCAUGUCAGGAAGGAUAGAGUUUCUGCUAUAUUCUGCAUAUAUCAAAUUACAACCUCUGGUAAGGCUUGUAAUACCUGCCAGGUGAUGGUAGGAAGUUUAAGGAUAGCCAAUUAGUUAAAUGCCCCACCCAGUGAUUAGGUUUGUUGGCCUUGCAUCAUGGCAAUAUGUUGGUGCAAGUGGCUGCAAUCUGGGCAGAAUGAUUCAAUUAUCAGAAGGCUGGAGGCUCUCCCUCUUGCAGAGCCUGUGCUAAAUAAAAUAAGGGCUUUCUUUUCAGAGAAUGGACAGCAUCUGAGCUUUCUGCGUCCUGGCUGAAGUGGAGGUGGGCUCCUACAAUUUUGUGAAGCGUUAACACAAUUUUGUGAAGCUAAACUUUCAAGAGUGCUUAAGCCUUCAUAUGUGUGCCUCCAGUUGCUGUGAGGGUCUGCAGGGGAUGUGUACCUUGGCAGCUGAAGGUACACUUGUGUGUUUGUGUGUCUACUGAACCCGCUCACCAUAGGAAUGGAACUUUAAACUGUGGCUUGAAUCAGCUGUUGGAAGGAGUCCUCAGGGAAGAUGAAUAAGCUCGUGUCAGCUGAGAUCUUUGCACUCAGGAGAAGCGAUCGGGAUGAUGGUGCUUCACACCCCAGAGGGAGUUUCGCUUCACAGAUAAGCGCCCUGAGUCAUGAGCUGAAUACGUGCCAGAAGGUUUCAAUGGCAGAAGUAAAUCCUAUCAAAGUUUGCUGUUGUGGUUGGACUGCUGACUCAAAGCGCUCGCUACGUGAGCUACCAGGGAGAGAUGGGGCUGGCAGUAAGUCACGCAGUGGCUCAUGUGGAAAUUGGGAGGCAGAAAUUGUUCUGCACAUGAACAAGAAACAAUCUGGGUAUGUGAAAAUGUAAGCUGUUUGUUUCAAUCAAGAGGUUGGGUUUGGCUUUACUCCAUGUAGUUAUUUGAAGGCUAUUGAGAAAUGCAAAUCAUGAUUUAUUUUUACUGUGCUAUGUGAUGAGACUCAUACUUCAGAGGCAGAGAGACAAGUUUCUGGAAUCUGUCCAGAAAUUAGCCAAAACGAUAAAAUAAAAAAAUCACACAACUUAUUCA